UACGUAGGUGGCGAGCGUUGUCCGGAUUUACUGGGCGUAAAGGGAGCGUAGGCGGACUUUUAAGUGAGAUGUGAAAUACCCGGGCUCAACUUGGGUGCUGCAUUUCAAACUGGAAGUCUAGAGUGCAGGAGAGGAGAAUGGAAUUCCUAGUGUAGCGGUGAAAUGCGUAGAGAUUAGGAAGAACACCAGUGGCGAAGGCGAUUCUCUGGACUGUAACUGACGCUGAGGCUCGAAAGCGUGGGGAGGCAAACAGGAUUAGAUACCCCU
This 267-nucleotide ribosomal RNA is filed under the name uncultured prokaryote. RNAcentral's name for it is "partial 16S ribosomal RNA". It matches the Rfam family "Bacterial small subunit ribosomal RNA", at positions 524 to 788 of the family's 1533-position model. The record is from RNAcentral.